This 426-nucleotide ribosomal RNA is filed under the name uncultured prokaryote. RNAcentral's name for it is "bacterial SSU rRNA". It matches the Rfam family "Bacterial small subunit ribosomal RNA", at positions 355 to 796 of the family's 1533-position model. The record is from RNAcentral.
UGGGGAAUUUUCCGCAAUGGGCGCAAGCCUGACGGAGCAACGCCGCGUGAGGGAGGAAGGCCUGUGGGUUGUAAACCUCUUUUAUCAGGGAAGAAGCACUGACGGUACCUGAUGAAUCAGCAUCGGCUAACUCCGUGCCAGCAGCCGCGGUAAGACGGAGGAUGCAAGCGUUAUCCGGAAUUAUUGGGCGUAAAGCGUCCGCAGGCGGCUAUUCAAGUCUGCUGUCAAAGCCCAUAGCUCAACUGUGGAUCGGCAGUGGAAACUGAGUAGCUAGAGUACGGUAGGGGUAGAGGGAAUUCCCAGUGUAGCGGUGAAAUGCGUAGAUAUUGGGAAGAACACCAGUGGCGAAGGCGCUCUACUGGGCCGUAACUGACGCUGAGGGACGAAAGCUAGGGGAGCGAAAGGGAUUAGAUACCCCCGUAGUCC